GGAACAGGAAGUGUGCUGGGGGAAGGGGGGGGGGUGAGUGUCGAGGAAUUUCAUAUCCCCUGGGGUUCCCAAUGCCCAGUGGAAAGGGCAACUGAAACUGGAGAAAAGCACAAAGCACAAGGAACGUCAGAAACCCCCUGGCCCAGUGGCUGCGCUCUAGUAGGUCCCGAGUUUUUAGGUGAAAGUUUCUAUUCAAGCUGAGACCUUUCCUGCAUCGCAGCACUUCCCAGUUUUUGAUCAUAACAAAAAGGUGGGACAUCCAAAGACCACUCCAAAGAAACUGAAGACUGGUUCUCGAGGCAUUUCCAACUUGAAGAAAAAGCCUGACAGAUCUGGGGACCCAUUCUUGGUUACGCCCAGAAGUAGAAUUAACUGGCUAAGCUUGAGAAAACACUGGAACUCUGGCAACUGUUCUAAAUGAGUUUUCUCAUUCCUCUGAGCUUUGCCCGUAGCCACUGUAUGCAUAUGUUGCAAAACUAAUUAUAAAAGAUCUUGAGAGCC
This is a long non-coding RNA of Panthera uncia (snow leopard), 501 nucleotides long. RefSeq lists it as uncharacterized. NCBI's taxonomy places the organism in Eukaryota, Metazoa, Chordata, Mammalia, Carnivora, Felidae. The record is from RefSeq and is a predicted model, not a curated record. The transcript is spliced from 2 exons.